This 67-nucleotide ribosomal RNA is filed under the name Colletotrichum gloeosporioides. RNAcentral's name for it is "partial 28S ribosomal RNA". The stretch from base 10 to 67 matches the Rfam family "Eukaryotic large subunit ribosomal RNA", at positions 1 to 58 of the family's 3401-position model. Lineage: Eukaryota; Fungi; Ascomycota; Sordariomycetes; Glomerellales; Glomerellaceae. The record is from RNAcentral.
UCCAAAGGUUGACCUCGGAUCAGGUAGGAAUACCCGCUGAACUUAAGCAUAUCAAUAAGCGGAGGAA